Molecule: small RNA, 595 nt
Filed under: Pan troglodytes (chimpanzee)
Lineage: Eukaryota; Metazoa; Chordata; Mammalia; Primates; Hominidae
Description: processed transcript
Source: RNAcentral
AGGAACAGAGAUCCUGCAAAACCCCUGCCCGCUCCAGGGGCUCCCAUCCACCUGGCAAAGACAGGGUCCGCAUCGAGGAGGACGUCGUGGUGACUGACAGUGGCAUGGAGCUGCUGACCUGCGUGCCCCGCACUGUGGAAGAGAUUGAAGCAUGCAUGGCAGGCUGUGACAAGGCCUUUACCCCCUUCUCUGGCCCCAAGUAGAGCCAGCCAGAAAUCCCAGCGCACCUGGGGGCCUGGCCUUGCAACCUCUUUUCGUGAUUGGCAGCCUGCUGGUCAGCACUCCAGUAGCGAGAGACGGCACCCAGAAUCAGAUCCCAGCUUCGGCAUUUGAUCAGACCAAACAGCACUGUUUCCUGGGGAGGAAACACUUUUUUAAUUACCCUUUUGCAGGCUCCCACCUUUAAUCUGUUUUAUACCUUGCUUAUUAAAUGAGCAACUUAAAAUGAUUGAAAAUAAUGCUGUUCUUUAGUAGCAACUAAAAUGUGUCUUGCUGUCAUUUCUAUUCCUUUUCCCAGGAAAGAAGCAUUUCUGAUGAUACUUUCUGUCAAAAAUCAAUAUGCAGAAUGGCAUUUGCAAUAAAAGGUUUCCUAAAA